Stegodyphus dumicola is the source of this 401-nucleotide long non-coding RNA. NCBI's taxonomy places the organism in Eukaryota, Metazoa, Arthropoda, Arachnida, Araneae, Eresidae. The record is from RefSeq and is a predicted model, not a curated record.
CCCUUUAAAGUAAGCUUCAAGGAUAUACAUAAUGUGUCUCUUCGGUCUGACGGAGCCACAUUUGCUCCGAGGAACCUUUACUUCUUCUCCUUAGAGAUUCUUUGGUUUGGAUUCUCAAUUGGGAAGCCAUUGCUUUGCGGUGUACAUAGACUGGAAUGUUAGCACGUGCUGUCGGGGAGAAGAAAUACUUGAAAAUAUGCCAUUUAAAUGCUGUGUAACUGGUUGUCGGGGAAAUUAUAAAGGUACUGAAAAGGUGCAUACAUUUUCCUUCCCAAAAAUGAUGCUCUUAGAGAGAGGUGGCUAAGAAAUAUACCUAGGAAGGACUUCUCAGCAACUCCAUAUUCUCAGGUGUGCCAUAAACAUUUUCAACCUGAUGACCUCAUCUGGGAAACAUCAGCUUU